Molecule: long non-coding RNA, 202 nt
Filed under: Physcomitrium patens
Lineage: Eukaryota; Viridiplantae; Streptophyta; Bryopsida; Funariales; Funariaceae
Description: long non-coding RNA (PPAT_LNC003858)
Source: RNAcentral
GAAAGAUUGUACUUAUAUUGUGGAGAACCUAAGCACAAUGCUCAACAUUGCCCACAGAAGUGACGCAAUUAUAAAAUGAGGAGUAUGGCGAUCAAAGAAGAUAGCAUGUCAGAAAACAAACUUGUCCUGCUACAAUAGGGACUGUGCGGGUAGAACCUUGUACAACGCCUAGUGAAGGUCCUAUCCUUUCUUCAGAACCCUC